This 1436-nucleotide long non-coding RNA is filed under the name Homo sapiens (human). RNAcentral describes it as "novel transcript, antisense to LNPEP and ERAP2". The record is from RNAcentral. Lineage: Eukaryota; Metazoa; Chordata; Mammalia; Primates; Hominidae.
CUCGGUAUGCGCAUCGCCACCACCCUCGCUGCAGAGGCCGCCGCCCUCCCAGCGCGCCAUCACCGCCUCCUCUGCCUCUUCCCCUCCCUCAGCCCCGGCCCCUGCAUUGACUUGGCUCGGGCUGCGCCUCACUGCGCCUGCCAACUGUCACACGCUCUGAGGCUUUCAACAGCGGGGCGCCAGGGACAAACAAGCCGCGGCAAGCGCAAACAGCCUGCUCAAACAGGGACGGCCAGGGUGUUGUUUGACCAGCACUGGAAUUGGAAACUAGGUUUCGAAGAAGUCAAAUCGAAGUACAAUAUUGUAUUUUAAACUGCCUGUUGUUAUUACAUCCCUCACAACGCACGCUCUACUUGAAACUUCCAGUGGAUACCAACUGCACUUAGAAUAAAAAAUGAAACUCCUUGCCUAACUCUGGGACCUCAUCAGCACAUACUCACCAUAUUUUGGUAACAAAGGCCUUCAUGCUGUUCCCGGAAGUCGCCAAGUUCCAUCCAUCAUUGUUAAUAAUUCCUUUUGCUCGCUCCUCGCACAAGAACUGUUUCUUCUGCUUAGUGCUUUGCCUACUGAUUCCAUCUUGUCAUUUAAGUCUCGGCUCAAAUGUCACCUCUGCAAAGAACCCUUGUCUGACCAUACAUCUAAAAUAGCCACAAACACUCUAUAAAGACUUGGCCUUGCUUUAUUUCCUUCUCAGCACUCAUCACUGUCUGAAACAAUGUUUUGGAUUUGUUGCUUAUUAUCAGUCUCCCUUCUCAAGAAUGCAAGCUUUGUGAGGGCAGAGUCGUAAUCUUUUUUAAGGCUGUAUCCCCAAUGCCUGGAUUGCCCAACACUUGCUUCAUGCUUCAAGCACAUCAGGGUGCUUUCCACUUCUGGAUGAGCCAAGUGUUUCCUCAGCUUUUCUGCACCUUCCUCUCCAUUGACCUAGAGUGUCUAUGGAACACUCAGAGUGUCCCCUGUGUAAACCACCUACCACAAGAUUAUCAACUUCAGGCAAUGGACCACGCACCAGGAUUCCACCUCUUUCUAGCACCUAUCAGUGUUGCGCACAUCAUAGGCCCUCAACAAACAGGCAGCCACGCUGGGGGAUCCCACAUGGUAAAGAACUGCAGGUGGCCUCUAGGAGAUGAGGGCGGCCUCCAGUCAACAGCCAGCAAGAAACUGAAGUGCUCUGUCCUACAACCUUGUGUAACUGAAUUCUGCCAACAACCUGAGUGAGACUGAAAGUGGAUCCCUCUCCAGUCAUGCCUCAGUGUGAGAGAAACCUGUGACUUGCUUCUAACCCAUAGGAUAUGGCAAGGAACUAGUCAUAUCUGAGAGCAGCCUCCAGAAAACAGUCAGCAAAACACUGAGGUUCUCAAUCCGAUAGUCAAUGAGGAACGGAAUGCUGGAACAAUGAUGUGAGCUUGGAAGCAGAUCCUUCCCUUCUGCUGGGCCUC